CGGAGUGGCGCACGGGUGAGUAAUACAUCGGAACGUGUCUUCUAGUGGGGGAUAACUGCCCGAAAGGGCAGCUAAUACCGCAUGAGACCUGAGGGUGAAAGCGGGGGAUCGUAAGACCUCGCGCUGGAAGAGCGGCCGAUGUCCGAUUAGCUAGUUGGUGAGGUAACGGCCCACCAAGGCGACGAUCGGUAGCCGGACUGGGAGGUUGAACGGCCACAUUGGGACUGAGACACGGCCCAG
Molecule: ribosomal RNA, 240 nt
Filed under: uncultured bacterium
Lineage: Bacteria
Description: partial 16S ribosomal RNA
Rfam family: Bacterial small subunit ribosomal RNA
Source: RNAcentral